AUUAGGGUAAUAUAAUACAAUAUAUUUUGCUUACACCAAAAAGUUGGUUUUCAGCCCCCUAAUAC
Molecule: transfer RNA, 65 nt
Filed under: Solenaia carinata
Lineage: Eukaryota; Metazoa; Mollusca; Bivalvia; Unionida; Unionidae
Description: tRNA-Val
Source: RNAcentral